This is a long non-coding RNA of Gopherus flavomarginatus (Mexican gopher tortoise), 707 nucleotides long. RefSeq lists it as uncharacterized. The record is from RefSeq and is a predicted model, not a curated record. The transcript is spliced from 4 exons. Lineage: Eukaryota; Metazoa; Chordata; Testudines; Testudinidae.
CUUUCCUUAUUUUCUAGGUGUUGAAUACACAAACACUGACUUAACGGAAAAUUAUCAAUGUGCAUAUAAUUAUAACACUCAAUGAAGCAAAUAGAUAGGAAGAUUCUGUCUCUAAAGUUUAACAACAAAAGGCAAAGUGGUGGAGAUGAUGGCGGGGAUAUGCACCCAGAGAUUCCUGCGUGGAACCGGCUUGAGAGGCAAAGAAUGUGGAGACAAAGUCUACAGUACCUGUUGUUGUUACUGCUUCCACAUCAGUGUCGAAACUCCAUGGGAACAUGGUUCCAGGCUUAGCUAUGGUCAAGGGAGUCUUAGGCAGUACUUGUUCUGCAGGAGCCCAUACUACCCAAGCACAAUGGAAAGAGAGCUGGCAAUGUAGUGGAAAUCCUGAAAAUUCCUUGUCCCUGGCAGAUCCCAAGGGUCAUCGUGGUAAGGGAAAUAUUUUUUAUCUGGGCCUCAGGAAAUAGUGGUCUGGCUAAUGAUCAUAGCAGUGCCGAGGGUUCUGUGAACAGUAUUUGCACAUUGGCAGCUGGUGCCAUCACUGACCUCUGCCUCACAACUCCCUCUACAAGGUCUGCUCAGCAAUGAUAGCUGUGGUUCCUACAGAAGUGAGGUACCUGUGUGGAGGACAGGACCCCAAAACAGGACUUCAAUUUAGAGUAGGGUGAGUUGCAAUAUGUGAAUAAAAUAUUGAUGUGGCCAGCCAGGCA